UACGUAGGGUGCGAGCGUUGUCCGGAAUUAUUGGGCGUAAAGAGCUCGUAGGCGGUCUGUCGCGUCGGUCGUGAAAACUUGGGGCUUAACCCUGAGCUUGCGGUCGAUACGGGCAUGACUGGAGUUCGGCAGGGGAGACUGGAAUUCCUGGUGUAGCGGUGAAAUGCGCAGAUAUCAGGAGGAACACCGGUGGCGAAGGCGGGACUCUGGGCCGAUACUGACGCUGAGGAGCGAAAGCGUGGGGAGCGAACAGG
This 254-nucleotide ribosomal RNA is filed under the name uncultured bacterium. Its description in RNAcentral is "partial 16S ribosomal RNA". It matches the Rfam family "Bacterial small subunit ribosomal RNA", at positions 524 to 776 of the family's 1533-position model. The record is from RNAcentral.